GCCUGAGAAACGGCUACCACAUCUAAGGAAUCUAAGAUAAGGCAGCAGGCGCGCAAAUUACCCAAUCCUAAUACAGGGAGGUAGUGACAAGAAAUAACAAUACAGGACUUUUUGGUUUUGUAAUUGGAAUGAGUUAAGUAUAAACCCCUUUACAAGUAUCAAUUGGAGGGCAAGUCUGGUGCCAGCAGCCGCGGUAAUUCCAGCUCCAAUAGCGUAUAUUAAAGUUGUUGCAGUUAAAAAGCUCGUAGUUGGAUUUCUGUUAAUAAUUUAUAUAAAAUAUUUUGAUGAAUAUUUAUAUAAUAUUAACAUAAUUCAUAUUACUAUUUUUUUUUUUAGUAUAUGAAAUUUUACUUUGAGAAAAUUAGAGUGCUUAAAGCAGGCAUAUGCCUUGAAUACUCCAGCAUGGAAUAAUAUUAAAGAUUUUUAUCUUUCUAAGAUAAGAAUAAUGAUUAAUAGGGACAGUUGGGGGCAUUU
Molecule: ribosomal RNA, 474 nt
Filed under: Cryptosporidium parvum
Lineage: Eukaryota; Apicomplexa; Conoidasida; Eucoccidiorida; Cryptosporidiidae
Description: partial 18S ribosomal RNA
Rfam family: Eukaryotic small subunit ribosomal RNA
Source: RNAcentral